RNAcentral lists this ribosomal RNA (2927 nucleotides) under Capsicum annuum. RNAcentral describes it as "eukaryotic LSU rRNA". It matches the Rfam family "Eukaryotic large subunit ribosomal RNA". Lineage: Eukaryota; Viridiplantae; Streptophyta; Magnoliopsida; Solanales; Solanaceae. The record is from RNAcentral.
GGCGGCUCCGUCAUUUGAAUUAUUGUUUGGAGAAGCGAUCUCAGCGACGGACCCAACCCAAGUCCCCUGGAAGGGGCGCCAGAGAGGGUGUGAGCCUCAUUGUGCCCAGACCCUGUUUCAUCACGAGGCACUGUCUUCGUGUUGGAUGUGGAAUGGCGAUGAGCUGGUCCGCCGAUCGACACGGGGCGUGGACCAGCUUGGAUUAGGAGGCAGCCAAAGUUUGGGCUCUCGAUACGCUCAUGGAAUGCCAUCUCCUCGAUUAUGGCAGGCAGCGCGUGCCUCCGAUGUACUUCGGCAUCUGCGCGCUACGGACGCUGGCCUGUGGGCUCCCUAUUCGACCCGUUUUGAAAAACGGACCAAGGAGUCUGAUAUGUGUCCGACUCAACGGGCGAGUAAACUCGUAAGGCGUAAGGAAGUUGAUUGGUGGUAUCCCCCUGAGGGGUACACCGCCGACCGACAUUGAUCUUCUGAGAAGGGUUUGAGUGUGAGCAUACCUGGUGAGACCCGAAAGAUGGUGAACUAUGCCUGAGCGGGGCGAAGCCAGAGAAAACUCUGGUAGAGGCCCGCAAUGAUACUGAUGUGAAAAUCAUAUAUCUGACUUGGGUGUAGGGCCCGCGGCUGCUUUGUAAAGCCAUGCCACGGAAUCAAGAGCUCCAAAUGGGCCAUUUUUGGUAAUCAGAACUGGCGAUGCAGGAUGAACCGGAAGCCGUGUUACGGUGCCAAACUACACUCUAACCUAGAUCCCAUAAAGGGUGUUGGUUGAUUAAGACAGCAGGACGGUGGUCAUAGAAGUCAAAAUCUGCUAAGGAGUGUGUAACAACUCACCUGCCAAAUAAAAUAGCCCCGAAAAUGGAUGGCGCUUAAGCGCGCGACCUACACCCGGCCAUCGGGGAAAGUUCCAGGCCCCGAUGAGUAGGAGGGCAUGGCGGUUGCUGCAAAACCUUGGGUGCGAGCUCGGGCAGAGCGGCCAUCGGUGCAGAUAUUAGUGGUAGUAGCAAAUAUUCAAAUGACAACUUUGAAGGCUGAAGAGGGGAAAGUUUCCAUGUGAACGGCACUUGCACAUGGAUUAGUCGAUCCUAAGGGUCGGGGGAACCCCGACAGAUAGCGCGUUUCGCGCGUACUCUAAAAGGGAAUAGGGUUAAAAUUUCUAAACCGAGACAUGGCGGUCGACGACAAUGUUAGGAAGUCCGGAGAAAUCGGCGAAAGCCUCGGGAAGUGUUAUCUUUUCUGUUUAACAGCCUGCCCACCCUGGAAUCAGCUCAGCCGGAGGUAGGGUCCAGCGGCUGGAAGAGCACCUCAUGUCGCGUGGUGUCUGGUGCACUACCGGCAACCCUUGAAAAUCCAUAGGACCCAAUGCCGUCUAUGCUCGGUCGUACUCAUAACCACAUCAGGUCUCCAAGGGGAACAACCUCUGGUCGAUAGAACAAUGUAGGCAAGCGAAGUCAGUAAAAUGGAUCCGUAACAUCCGGAAAAGGAUUAGCACUGAGGGCUGGGAACGGAGAUCCCAGUCCCAAACCCGUCGGUUGUUGGUGUACUACUCGAGCUUCUCCCAUAGCGAGAGCGGGUUACCGCAUGCCGGUCGGGGGACGGACUGGGAACAGUUCCUUCGGAGGCCUUCCCGGUGCAUCGAAUAGCCAACUUAGAACUGGUACGGACAAGGGAAAUUCAACUAUUUAAUUAAAAAAAAAGCAUUGCAAUGGUCCCAACGGAUGUUCACGCAUUGUGAUUUCGGCCCAGUGCUCUGAAUGUCAAAGUGAAAAAAUUCAACCAAGCGCGGGUAAACGGCAGGAGUAACUAUGACUCUCUUAAGGUAGCCAAAUGCCUCGUCAUCUAAUUAGUGAUGCGCAUGAAUGGAUUAACGAGAUUCCCACUAUCCCAAUCUACUAUCCAGAGAAACCACAGCCAAUGGAACGGGCUUGGCAGAAUCAGCGGGGAAAGAAGACCCUCUUGAGCUUGACUCUACUCUGACUUUGUGAAAUGACUUGAGAGGUGUAGUAUGAGUGGGAGCCGAAAGGACAAAGUGAAAUACCACUACUAUUAACGUUAUUUUACUUAUUCCAUGAAUUGGAAGCGGGGCAAUGCCCCUCUUUUUGGACCCAAGGCUCACUUUGCGGGCCGAUCCGGGCAGAAGACAUUGUUAGGUAGGGAGUUUGGCUGGGGCGGCACAUCUAUUAAAAGAGAACGCAGGUGUCCUAAGAUGAGCUCAACGAGAACAGAAAUAUCGUGUGGAACAGAAGGGUAAAAGCUCGUUUGAUUCUGAUUUCUAGUACGAAUACGAACCAUUAAAGCGUGGCCUAACGAUCCUUUAGACCUUCGAAAUUCGAAGCUAGAGGUGUCAGAAAAGCGUUACCAUAGGGAUAACUGGCCUGUUGCAGCCAAGCAUUUAGAGCGACGUUGCUGUUUCAUCCUUCGUUGUCGGCUCUUCCUAUCAUUAUGAAGCAAAAUUCACCAAGUGUUGGACUAUUCACCCACCAAUAGGGAACGUGAGCUGGGUUUAGAUUGUCGUAAGACAGGUUAGUUUUACCCUACUUAUGACAGUGUCUCAGUAGUAAUUCAAUUUAGUACGAGAGGAAACAUUGAUUCACAUAAUUUAUUAUCGCUCUUAGUUGAAAAGACAGUGGCGUAAAGCUACCGUGUGUUGGAUUAUGACUGAACAUCUCUAAGUUAGAAUCCAGGCUAAAAGUGACGCAUGCACCCGCUGUCUGCUUGCCGACCCACAGUAGGGGCCUCAGCCCCUAAGGGCACGUAUCGUUUGCUAAGCCACUGCGGCGGAAGAGUCGCGGUGGCCGCCUUGAUGUAUAAUUUCCAUCGAGCGGCGGGUAGAAUCCUUUGCAGACGACUUAAAUAUGUGAUGAGGUACUGUAAGUGGAAGAGUGUCCUUGCUGCCACGAUCCACUGAGAUUCAUCCCUUUGUCGCUCUGGUUCGU